Non-coding RNA from Myotis lucifugus (little brown bat), 75 nucleotides. NCBI's taxonomy places the organism in Eukaryota, Metazoa, Chordata, Mammalia, Chiroptera, Vespertilionidae. The record is from Rfam.
CUUGGGGGGGGGGGGGUCCCUCAGCCCAGAUUGCGAAAGGGCAUAGACCAGGCCGAGGGACCCCACUGGUGCAGG